AGUUUGAUCCUGGCUCAGGAUGAACGCUAGCGGCAGGCUUAACACAUGCAAGUCGAGGGGCAGCGCGUUGUAGCAAUACGAUGGCGGCGACCGGCGAAAGGGUGCGUAACGCGUGAGCAACCUGCCCGUAUCCGGGACAUAAGCGGUGGAAACGCCGUCUAAUUUCCCAUAACAACGAGGGCCGCAUGGUCCAUGUUUGAAAGAUGCGUCGGAUACGGAUGGGCUCGCGAGACAUUAGCUAGUCGGCGUGGUAACGGCACACCGAGGCGACGAUGUCUAGGGGUUCUGAGAGGAAGGUCCCCCACACUGGUACUGAGACACGGACCAGACUCCUACGGGAGGCAGCAGCGAGGAAUAUUGGUCAAUGGGCGUGAGCCUGAACCAGCCAAGUAGCGUGCAGGAUGACGGCCCUACGGGUUGUAAACUGCUUUUUCCGGGGAAUAACCGGUGCCACGUGUGGCACCCUGCAUGUACCCGGUGAAUAAGGACCGGCUAAUUCCGUGCC
This 505-nucleotide ribosomal RNA is filed under the name uncultured organism. RNAcentral's name for it is "SSU rRNA". It matches the Rfam family "Bacterial small subunit ribosomal RNA", at positions 10 to 509 of the family's 1533-position model. The record is from RNAcentral.